This 253-nucleotide ribosomal RNA is filed under the name uncultured bacterium. Its description in RNAcentral is "partial 16S ribosomal RNA". It matches the Rfam family "Bacterial small subunit ribosomal RNA", at positions 524 to 776 of the family's 1533-position model. The record is from RNAcentral.
UACGGAGGAUCCAAGCGUUAUCCGGAAUCAUUGGGUUUAAAGGGUCCGUAGGUGGACGAUUAAGUCAGGGGUGAAAGUCUGCAGCUCAACUGUAGAAUUGCCCUUGAUACUGGUUGUCUUGAAUCAUUGUGAAGUGGUUAGAAUAUGUAGUGUAGCGGUGAAAUGCAUAGAGAUGACAGAGAAGACCAAUUGCGAAGGCAGAGCACGAACAAUGUAUUGACACUGAUGGACGAAAGCGUGGGUAGCGAACAGG